Molecule: unclassified non-coding RNA, 537 nt
Filed under: uncultured Tylopilus
Lineage: Eukaryota; Fungi; Basidiomycota; Agaricomycetes; Boletales; Boletaceae
Description: sequence contains ITS1, 5.8S rRNA gene and ITS2
Rfam family: 5.8S ribosomal RNA (bases 128-282)
Source: RNAcentral
UUUUUUCGUCGACCUUUCUCUUUCUUUCUUUCACACCUGUGCACCCGUUGUAGGUCCUCGAAAGAGGAUCUAUGUUCUCUAUCACACCCGAUCGUCGUAUGUCCAUAGAAUGUAACGAAUAAAAUACAACUUUCAGCAACGGAUCUCUUGGCUCUCGCAUCGAUGAAGAACGCAGCGAAUUGCGAUAAGUAAUGUGAAUUGCAGAUUUUCAGUGAAUCAUCGAAUCUUUGAACGCACCUUGCGCUCCUUGGUAUUCCGAGGAGCAUGCCUGUUUGAGUGUCAUUGAAUUCUCAACCAUGUCUCGAUCGACUUCGAGGCAUGGCUUGGAGUUUGGGAGUUGCUGGCGUCAAGUCAGCUCUUCUGAAAUACAUUAGCGAUGGACGAGCAUGUCCUGAUGUGCACGGCCUACCGACGUGAUAAUGAUCGUCGUGGCUGGAGCGUUCGGACGUCGCAUCUUCAUGGUCUGUUUCGCUUCCAAUCGAGAGUACCCUUCGAACGCUUGACCUCAAAUCAGGUAGGACUACCCGCUGAACUUAA